Long non-coding RNA from Ixodes scapularis (black-legged tick), 1304 nucleotides. RefSeq lists it as uncharacterized. The record is from RefSeq and is a predicted model, not a curated record. The transcript is spliced from 6 exons. NCBI's taxonomy places the organism in Eukaryota, Metazoa, Arthropoda, Arachnida, Ixodida, Ixodidae.
AGAAGACUGCCAUUUCAACAGUGUUUGCACGUUCUAAUCGCAAGAGAAGGAAAUCACCAAUGAUGCGAAAUGCUCCAUUACCAAAGGUACUUUGUCAAGAGUAACAAACGAUAUCUGGGAGACGCUGAUGGACGCUGCGUCUAGUCAACGACCGUAGGUUGUGCACGGCUGCCGGAGCACCUUCGGGAAACGCUAACCGCCGACAGGUACUUCAGUUAGAUAAACCCCAGCAAAAGCAGCAAGAGAGUCUCGUAGGGUCACACCAAGGAUAACGGCAUUCCUGCUCGAGUCCCGGGUCUUCUCACCGAACUUCACUGAGCAUAAUGGUACAUUCCCUUUCCUUAACUUUGUGGGAGCCAAGGGUGAAAGACGACGCAGAGGGCACGUGACAGGCGGUCGGCGGAGAAAGAAGUCACGAGCUGGCGCGAGACAGUGCGUGCUGAGCGAGGCUGGAGCUGGGCAGGAACAUCGGAGCCGGGCUGCCUGGCUUGGAGCGGUCCACCAGCGAGGUUCAAACCGGACCGGUAGAAGCGGCGAGUCCUGGCCAUCUAGCCUAGGCCACGACGAUCCCGGGGUGGUUCCGCAGCGAGACUCGGGCAGUGAUAGCCCGGGACAGCCAGCCUACGCAGCGCUGGCAUGGGAAGGACGAUCCGCAGGCCUGGACACUGACUCUGACUGUGAGCUCUGAUCGACGGACGACAACAAGGGUCGGCGUGCCUGGACUGCUGGCUCUGAACGACGGGCAACCGUGAGCACCCCAGGAGCUACUAUCGCCCGAAGAUGUCACAGGUGGUCAUGAUUCUUUGAGGCAGCGGAAUUUCACCGCAGUGCAUCUUUAACACCUUCAGUUUCUUUUCUACUGCAAGCCUGGUACUACAGCUUGUGGCCCGUGUAGAAGAAUAGAGGGGUGAAACCAAGGCUCAAGUGACUGUGGACUCAUGGCCCUCAGACAGCUAGAGCACCAGACCAGGCACAGACCAGAGCCAUUUAUGCUCCACUUCUAGAGGACAUGUUGCAGUUUGAAACUACCAAGACUCAUGGAAGCUGCUGACAGGAGGCUGUUGAAGCCGUGGUCGCAAGGCACCCAUGACAUUGAAGUCUUCCAAACAAGGCACUAUGAAGGCAUGACUUGUAGCGGCACUGGAGCAAGCGACACGGUCCGGGUGAGCCGCAAGUGUAACUGUUACACUGUAAACAGGAAAUAUAGACAUGUGUCCGACAAAGCACAGACUCAUAAAACUUUCAUGUAGCAAUAAUAGUUUAAUUUAACUAAACAGUGCAUCAACAGAGCCUGACCCAAGAAU